This 484-nucleotide ribosomal RNA is filed under the name uncultured bacterium. Its description in RNAcentral is "partial 16S ribosomal RNA". It matches the Rfam family "Bacterial small subunit ribosomal RNA", at positions 29 to 507 of the family's 1533-position model. The record is from RNAcentral.
AGUGAACGCUGGCGGCAGGCCUAACACAUGCAAGUCGAGCGGAUGAAGGGAGCUUGCUCCUGGAUUCAGCGGCGGACGGGUGAGUAAUGCCUAGGAAUCUGCCUGGCAGUGGGGGCUAACGUCCGGAAACGGGCGCUAAUAUCGCACACGAUCUGAGGAAGAAAGUGGGAGAUCUUCGGACCUCACGCUAUCAGAUGAGCCUAGGUCGGAUUAGCUAGUGGGUGGGGUAAAGGCCUACCAAGGCGACGAGACGUAACUGGUCUGAGAGGGUGAUCAGUCACACUGGCACUGUGCCACGGUCAGGACUCCUAAGGGAGGCAGCAGUGGGCAAUAUUGCACAAUGGGCGAAAGCCUGAUCGAGUCAUGCCGCGUGUGUGAAGAAGGUCCUCGGAUUGUAAAGCACUUUCAGUUGGGAGGAAGGGCAGUAAGUUAGUACCUUGCUGUUUUGACGGUACCAACUGAAUCAGCACGGGCUAACUUCGUG